Molecule: long non-coding RNA, 799 nt
Organism: Symphalangus syndactylus (siamang)
Lineage: Eukaryota; Metazoa; Chordata; Mammalia; Primates; Hylobatidae
Source: RefSeq, a predicted model, not a curated record
GGUCCUGAAGACUUCAUUUAAGACGCAGGAUCCAGCCUUGCUUGAUGUCAUUACUCCUAGACUUUCACAUACAAGAGCCAAAAAAUUGUCUUUUCUUCCCCCUUAACCCAGGGCUCCUGCAACCAAAAGAACACUUGACUGUGGCAUCUUUCCAGCCUCCUGGAUAUGCCACGAUGUUUGUAACAUGGAGCUAACUUUGCAGUUGCCAACCUAGAGUGGAGUUUCUCCUGGAAGCUAGGUAAGGUGCCCCCAUGGCAAGACGCUGUGGGCAGCCUCAAGAAACUGGGUGGCCUCUUAGGACCUGAGGGCAGCCUCCAACAAGGAAGCAGCAAACCUCUGGGGCCUUCUGUUCUACAACUGCAAGGAAGUAAAUUCUGCCAACAACCUGAAUGAGCACGGAGGUGAACUCUUCCUCAGUCGAGCCCCUGGAUAAGAACACAGUUCAACUCAUGCCUUGAUUGCAGCCUGUAAGAGUCUGAGAAGAGGACCAGGUAAGUGGUGCCCAGACUCCUGCCAAGGGAAACUGUGAUAUGUGUGUGGUUUUCAGCCACUGAUUUUGUGGUCACUUGUUAUGCAGCAAUAGAAAACCAAACCAACAGACUUUGAAGAAUGAAAGACUUGGGUUUGAUUUCUGCUCCACUUACCAAUUGUGUGACCUUGCGUGAGUCACAUCACCACUCUGAGCUCCAGUUUUUUCGUCUACAAAUGGGUGCAGACUUGGGAGAAUUAGAGAUAAUAAAUAGAGAGCACCUAACAUGGGGCCUGGCACAGAGUAGGUGCUCAAUAAAUAGUAGUUAAG